AUAUCGCUCCUUGAAUACAAAAGGGCCACAAUUAAAAAAAAAUGAAAAUCGUUUUAUUGCAAAAAUUACACCUGAACCGACUAUAUUUUAUAGUGAAAAAAAAACUCCCAUCAUUUUUGCUUAUAUUAUGGCUACACUGACUUACCGCCAUUUUUGCAUUAGCUCACUUUGACAGGUAAUGUCAGAGCUAAACCGCCAUUUUGUUAGUUGCGCCCGGAGAUUCAACGCUAACGCACGUCGGUUGCGUGAAAAAGUGCCACAAUCCAAAAUACGUCUGUGUUGGAUUCAAAAUUUCAGAUUGACAAAAUGAAUAGAGCACGAAAAAUGUUGAAUA
This is a long non-coding RNA of Aricia agestis (brown argus), 334 nucleotides long. RefSeq lists it as uncharacterized. The record is from RefSeq and is a predicted model, not a curated record. The transcript is spliced from 2 exons. NCBI's taxonomy places the organism in Eukaryota, Metazoa, Arthropoda, Insecta, Lepidoptera, Lycaenidae.